GUCGCUUCUCGGCCUUUUGGCUAAGAUCAAGUGUACUUUCUGUCUCUCUGAGUUUGACUACUCUAGGUACCUCCUAUAAAUGAAAUUGCACACUGU
Molecule: small nuclear RNA, 96 nt
Filed under: Zalophus californianus (California sea lion)
Lineage: Eukaryota; Metazoa; Chordata; Mammalia; Carnivora; Otariidae
Description: U2 spliceosomal RNA (ENSZCAG00015011410.1)
Rfam family: U2 spliceosomal RNA
About the family: U2 is a small nuclear RNA (snRNA) component of the spliceosome (involved in pre-mRNA splicing). Complementary binding between U2 snRNA (in an area lying towards the 5' end but 3' to hairpin I) and the branchpoint sequence (BPS) of the intron results the bulging out of an unpaired adenosine, on the BPS, which initiates a nucleophilic attack at the intronic 5' splice site, thus starting the first of two transesterification reactions that mediate splicing.
Source: RNAcentral